This 112-nucleotide ribosomal RNA is filed under the name Mariniradius sediminis. The record is from RNAcentral. Lineage: Bacteria; Pseudomonadati; Bacteroidota; Cytophagia; Cytophagales; Cyclobacteriaceae.
CUAGGCGGCCGAGCGCAGGGGCCCCACCUCUUCCCAUCCCGAACAGAGAAGUUAAGCCCUGCAGCGCCGAUGGUACUGGGGUCGCACCCGGGAGAGUAGGCCGCCGCCACAC